CCUACGGGAGGCAGCAGUGGGGAAUAUUGCACAAUGGGGGGAACCCUGAUGCAGCGACGCCGCGUGGGUGAAGAAGCGCCUCGGCGCGUAAAGCCCUGUCAGCAGGGAAGAAAAUGACGGUACCUGAAGAAGAAGCCCCGGCUAACUACGUGCCAGCAGCCGCGGUAAUACGCAGGGGGCAAGCGUUAUCCGGAUUUACUGGGUGUAAAGGGGGCGCAGACGGGGUGGCAAGCCAGGAGUGAAAGCCCGGGGCCCAACCCUGGGAUUGCUAGUGGUACUGGGUGGCUGGAGUGCAUGAUGGGCAGGCGGAAUUCCUGGUGUAGCGGUGAAAUGCGUAGAUAUCAGGAGGAACACCGAUGGCGAAGGCGGCCUGCUGGACUGCAACUGACGUUGAGGCCCGAAAGCGUGGGGAGCAAACAGGAUUAGAUACCCCUGUAGUC
RNAcentral lists this ribosomal RNA (440 nucleotides) under uncultured bacterium. RNAcentral describes it as "partial 16S ribosomal RNA". It matches the Rfam family "Bacterial small subunit ribosomal RNA", at positions 338 to 795 of the family's 1533-position model. The record is from RNAcentral.